This 1409-nucleotide ribosomal RNA is filed under the name metagenome. RNAcentral describes it as "bacterial SSU rRNA". It matches the Rfam family "Archaeal small subunit ribosomal RNA". The record is from RNAcentral.
UCCAGUUGAUCCUGCUGGCGGCUACGGCUAUCUGGCUUGCAGUUAGACAUGCAAGUUUUUUCGCAAGAAAGGCGAACUGCUCAGUAACACAUAGCUAACUUGACCUUAGGUCAAGGAUAACCUCGGGAAACUGAGGCUAAUACUUGAUAGAAGAUUAUUUCUGGAAUGAUUUUUCUUUGAAAUUCGAGCCUAAGGAUAGGGCUGUGGCUGAUUAGGUUGUUGGCGGGGUAAAUGCCCACCAAGCCGAUGAUCAGUAAGGGUUCUUAGCGGAAGGGCCCUGAGAAGGAAUCUGAGACACUAUUCCUAGCCUUACGGGGUGCAGCAGUUAGGGAACUUUUACAAUGCACGAAAGUGUGAUAAAGCGAGCCAGAGUGUUUAUCAUUUUAUGAUAAACUUUUUUUCUGUUGUAAAAAGACAGAAGAAUAAGGACUGGGCAAGACCGGUGCCAGCCGCCGCGGUAAUACCGGCGGUCCAAGUCGUAGCCACAAUUAUUGGGUCUAAAACAUCCGUAGCUUGUUUAAUAAGUUUCUUGUGAAAUCCUAUCUCUUAAGGAUAGGGCGUGCAAGAAAUACUGUUAGGCUAGAGACCGGAAGAAGUGAAAAGUACAGUUGAGGUAGUGGUAAAAUAUUUUAAUCUUAAUUGGACUAACAAUAGCGAAGGCAUUUCACUAGUACGGAUCUGACAGUGAGGGAUGAAGGCUAGGGUCGCAAAACGGAUUAGAUACCCGUGUAGUCCUAGCAGUAAACACUGCUCACUAAACAUUAGGAUCUCUUCGAGAGAUUUUAGUGCUGUAGCGAAGGCGAAGAGCGAGCUACCUGGGAAGUAUAGUCGCAAGACCGAAACUUAAAGGAAUUGGCGGGGGAGUACUACAACAGGUGACGCGUGCGGUUUAAUUAGAUUUUACACCGUGAAUCUCACCAGGAUCGAUAGCAGAAUGAAGGUCAGUCUAAAGGGCUUACCUGACACGCUAAGAGGAGUUGCAUGGCCGACGUCAGCCUGUGUCGUGAGAUGACCUGUUAAAUCAGGUAACAGGCGAGACCCAUGUGUAUAGUUACUACGUAAAGAGCACACUAUACAGACUGCCUUGGUAACAAGGAGGAAGGUGUGGGCUACGUUAGGUGAGUACAGCCUGAAUACCCUGGGCUACACGCGCGCGGCAAUGUUAGAUACAAUUAGAUGCGACUCUGAAAAGAGAAGCAAAUCUCAUAAAGUCUAGCCUAGUUCAGAUUGAAGUUUGUAACUUAGCUUCAUGACGAUGGAAUCUGUAGUAAUCGUUCGUUAUCAGCGAACGGUGAAUAUGUCCCUGCUCCUUGCACACACCGCCCGUCAAACCAACCGAGUUAUGUUCUGGUGAGGUCCUUCGGGAACGAACCUUAGCAUGACAAGGCAGGUUAAGUCGACACAAGGUA